GGAAGAUCGUCAUCUCCGGUGAGGUGGCUGGACUUCAAAUUCAGUUGGGGACGCCAGCGUUCCCGGGCAGGUUCGACUCCUGUGAUCUUCCGCCA
Molecule: transfer RNA, 95 nt
Filed under: Citrobacter freundii
Lineage: Bacteria; Pseudomonadati; Pseudomonadota; Gammaproteobacteria; Enterobacterales; Enterobacteriaceae
Also listed under: 1 other name
Description: tRNA-Sec
Rfam family: Selenocysteine transfer RNA
Source: RNAcentral